RNAcentral lists this long non-coding RNA (369 nucleotides) under Struthio camelus australis. Its description in RNAcentral is "lncRNA (ENSSCUG00000003105.1)". The record is from RNAcentral. Lineage: Eukaryota; Metazoa; Chordata; Aves; Struthioniformes; Struthionidae.
UUCAAAGGAAGGAGCUGAGAGGUUUCUUGGAGCCUUGGCUUUGUUGUUUGACUUAUCUGAUGCUCAUAAAUUAUCAACAAACAAUCUCAGCUCUCAAGCCUGUGAGGAGGACUAGGAGCUGCUGUUUCAGAUGAUUUCCCGUGCAUGGGUGGCUGGCAUCAUCUUGAGAGCAAAAGGUCCUGCCUACCCUCUGCAGCUCCUUUGCCGUGUUCAUGGAGAGAUCGAAAGGGAGCGGAGACGCAGGAGGCAGAUGUCCCUGGAGAUGAGGGGAUUGUACUGCCCCAUGGGUCUUGUGCCAAGAGCCAGCACAUUGAGAAUGUAAGGUCAGCACUGGUGGUGGGAAGUUUUGCCCAUUCUGUGAUCGGAUGA